CUUGCGUUAAAAACAGACAACAAAAUCUAAAACAGAAACCUCCAAAAGAAAAUUUUUAUAAACUAAAUACGGAUAGAGCUCAUACAACAACCAAGACUGGCAUUGGUGGAUUAAUUCGAAAUUCAAAAGAUGAAGGGAUGUUGGGCUUUGCAGCAGUAGUCCCAAGAGAUUCAUCAACUUCAGCAGAAUUGCAUGCUUUGUUACAGGGACUUAAGAUGGCAUACACCCACAACUUCAUUCUACUACUAUUAUGGUAAGCCAGUAGUACAAUAUGCAUAUAUAGAGCGGAAUAGAAUUGCGGAUAAACUAACAAAGAUAGGCUGCAAUUUUGACCUUAACUCAGCGAUGCGUAUUUUGGAGGACAGCUCAGAUUUUGCAUGGCCAGUUUCUGAAAAAAAAAGAGUGCAGUGCAAGGGUAUGUUUUAGAAGACUUAAGCACCAACUCAAACAAGUUUGAUGCUAUAAAUGGCUAUUGCAACAGUAAUGUAGUAGAUAGUAGUAGUAAUGUCAGUGUGUAUAAUAGUUUGGUACCCACUAUUAGUACAUUAUCGUAUAAUAGGAUACAGUAUAAGCAUCCAGCCUCCAUACGCAACACUUAAUCAUAAUACAUAUUUAUCUUUUUAACCAAAAAAAAUAAAAUUACAGAGAUGAUGAGGCAAGAAAAUUAUACUAGUUUAAGUUUUAUAUGUGCUGACAAAAGUGAAAAAUAUAUUAUUUGGGCAAAAGCUACCGACUUCGGCCAAACUCAUGGUCGAGCUUAUAGCUCAGACCCGAUGUAGUACAAUAAAUAGAUUUUUAAGUUAUCGGUUUAGUUGAUUAUAAUAAUAUUUAAAUAUUUUAUAGUAAAUUUGAAAUGAUAAUCGGGUAAAUAGAAUGACAACUUGCUAUAAUUAAGUAGAUUUCCAUAGGAUAUAGUUAAAUAAUAAUAUAUAUUUUUCAUGUAAUCUCUUAUUUUCCUAUAAAUCCUAAAAGAGAAAUUUAUUUCGAAAUAAAUGAUUUACUGAACUCACUAAUUUACUUUUAGUGUUGGUCCAAUUUUUCCUCUCAAUCUAAUUCUUUAAAAUUUUAUCAUUUUCAAUGAGCAACCAUUGUGAAGGCAUCUCUAUAGUAAAACAAUAAUAACAACAACAAUAAUAACUAUCUAGCAUGGAGGUUUAUCCUAGAAGGACAAAAAAAUUAUUUCCGAUAGAUCCUCAGCUAAAAAAGGUAAGAGAAGCCUUGAUAGCAAGUAAUAGCAUGACAAUAAUUAAAAAACUAAUUCAAAAAUAACAAUAAAUAAUAUGAAAGAGAUACUGAUAAUAAAUAAUAGCAAAAUAAUACAUUUAAAAGAUUAAUUUUAAGACCGCAAACGAUAAUAUGAUCGAAAAGGUAAUUUCUCUUAGGAAGGGCGCCAAAAGAAUAGUUUAGUUACUCAAAGUCAAAGGAAAGAGUCCAAAGCAAUUGUCAUUUUAAUCAUAUAAAUUUGGUCCACACUAAGUGCUGAGAUAAUUAAAAAAAAGCAUUAAUUAUUUGUUUUAAAGCUAACAUUGUUCUAACAUAAUAAAUGAUCUAAAAAGUUUGAAAAGAGAUUAAAAGGAGUAAUUUAAUCAAAUAAUUUUAACAAACACCACUUAUUUUGAAUCGAAGGUAGUAAAAACUUUAAUCUACUUAAUUUCACGAUAGAUUCAUGAGACUAAUUAAUGAAAGAAAAGCUCAUACAUAUACAUAAAAAGCAUCUGUCUUUUUUUUUGUUUUCUUUGAGAGGAUCCUGCAGCUUAAGAAAAAAGUCAGUGUACGGUGAGUUCGGAAUUUAAAGUUUUAUCAUAAUCUCAAAUUAAUUUAUAUUUUGUUCGGUCUAUAAUAAGUGAUCAAUUUAUUUUUUUAUUUUAGUUCAAAACAAAUAUUCAUUUAUAUAACCAAGAAACAAUUCAAUUUGUUUUUCCAAAAUUACUCUCAUGUAUAUACUAUCUUUAAAAUGCCUUUUCCUCCUCACAUUAAUUAUGCUAUAAUAUUUAAUUAAUGGUAAUUUAGUCAUACUAAAUAUUUUUGUUUAAAAUUUCUUAUUUCCUUGACGAAUGCGCCCAAAAAAAAUUGCUCACUUAUUAUGGACCGAAAGGAAUACAAUAAUAACUGAGUUUACAAUUAGAAAUUUAUAAAUAUUUAAUGAAUUUUUGAUAAAAAUAUAGAACAUACGCAAAAGUUGUUAGAUUCUCCGAACCCACGUACAAUGCUCUAAAUCCGCUACUGCAUGUACAUCUGUGCUUAAAUAAGUACCAAAUAGGGAAAUCAUUUUGCUAAUGAUGUAUUUCACAUUGCAAAAACGCUGAAACUAAGGAUGUUCCCAAUACUGACAGGACUCCCGCUGAAGCAAUUGUGUAGCAGCUCUAUAUUAAGCUCCUCGAAAAUGUUGACGUUGCCUGAAAUGUUUCUGAGCUGCUACAUUACCAGCAGUUUCUGCAUCAUUCUCCUUUAAUUCCAUCUCAUCUUUAGGUUUGGAGUUUUCAGUAUCACAAAAAACAUUGAAAAGGGUGUGUAGAACACAGCCCAAAAUUGGGAUUACAGAAAAAAUAGCUACACUUCGUUUCAGAUUCAUUUUUGUAGCCAAGAAAUGCUUAGAAUUUUGUUUCUGUAUAAGGAAAGAUGAAGAAGAAGAGAAAAAAUGCAAGUAAUUCUUGAAAU
Molecule: long non-coding RNA, 2658 nt
Filed under: Nicotiana benthamiana
Lineage: Eukaryota; Viridiplantae; Streptophyta; Magnoliopsida; Solanales; Solanaceae
Description: long non-coding RNA (NBEN_LNC018718)
Source: RNAcentral